GUCUGCUUGAAGAUAUAAGGAGUCUAGCCUGCUCUCUGAUUAGUUUUAAGGGCCGCGGUAAUUUGACCGUGCAAAGGUAGCAUAAUAGUUAGUUUUUUAAUUGAAAUCUUGUAUGAAUGGUUGGACAAAAGAAAUACUGUCUCUAUAAUUAUUAUUGAAUUUAACUUUUAAGUGAAAAGGCUUAAAUUAUUUAAAAAGACGAUAAGACCCUAUAAAGCUUUAUAAGUAAAUUCUAUUUAAUUAAAUUAAUUAAUAAAAUUUUGAUAGUUUAAUUAUUUUGUUGGGGAGACAAUAUUAUAAUUUAAGGUAACUGUGAAUAAUUAAUACAAUUAUAAAUGUUUAAGUAAAUAAAAGAUCCUAUUUAAAGAUUAAAAGUUUAAGUUACUUUAGGGAUAACAGCGUUAUUUUUUUUGAGAGUUCAUAUCGAAAAAAAAGAUUGCGACCUCGAUGUUGAAUUAAAAUUUCUAAGUAAUUGCAGAAGUUACUUUAGAAGGUCUGUUCGACCUUUAAAUUUUUACAUGAUUUGAGUUCAAACCGGCGUGAGCCAGGUUGGUUUCUAUCUUUUAAUUAAGUUUAAAUUAUUUUAGUACGAAAGGAUUAAAUAAUUAAAUUUUUUUUUAUGUUGGAAGGUUAUUUUGGCAGAUAAUAUGCGUAGGA
Molecule: ribosomal RNA, 657 nt
Filed under: Fabia subquadrata
Lineage: Eukaryota; Metazoa; Arthropoda; Malacostraca; Decapoda; Pinnotheridae
Description: partial 16S ribosomal RNA
Rfam family: Bacterial large subunit ribosomal RNA
Source: RNAcentral